UACGUAGGGUGCAAGCGUUAAUCGGAAUUACUGGGCGUAAGCGUGCGCAGGCGGUUAUAUAAGACAGUUGUGAAAUCCCCGGGCUCAACCUGGGAACUGCAUCUGUGACUGUAUAGCUAGAGUACGGUAGAGGGGGAUGGAAUUCCGCGUGUAGCAGUGAAAUGCGUAGAUAUGCGGAGGAACACCGAUGGCGAAGGCAAUCCCCUGGACCUGUACUGACGCUCAUGCACGAAAGCGUGGG
RNAcentral lists this ribosomal RNA (241 nucleotides) under uncultured bacterium. RNAcentral describes it as "partial 16S ribosomal RNA". It matches the Rfam family "Bacterial small subunit ribosomal RNA", at positions 524 to 765 of the family's 1533-position model. The record is from RNAcentral.